Molecule: long non-coding RNA, 2598 nt
Organism: Magnolia sinica
Lineage: Eukaryota; Viridiplantae; Streptophyta; Magnoliopsida; Magnoliales; Magnoliaceae
Exons: 4
Source: RefSeq, a predicted model, not a curated record
UGCCUAAAGCAUCUCAAAUCACGUGGUGUGGUCCACCUUAGUCUUGGAAUGGACUAAUCUUUGGUGUGUCCGUCUAUCCUAUUUGGGCGCAUCUUCCGAAUGGAUUGGAUGGCAGAUAUGAAACACGAUGGCCCUACAUAUAAUGUGGAAAGUUUUUAAUGAUGAGCAACCUCACCUCAACUGCCCCAUAUGGUUUGGCCCGCCGGAGCUUUGGGUUGACUUGAUUUUUCGGCACCAAGGAAAUUGCAUGGUGGAUGGAUUGCAGCACGCAAAUGGUAUCUAGCAUCAAAGAAUGUUGCUGGAAGCUUUUUGCAGUUCUGAUUUUUCUUUUUUGUUGGUUUGAUAUUCUUUAAUAUUGAUAUGUAAACUCCAAGAACUGCAGCAUUUGUUGUUUGCUACAGAGGACUUGGAUGAUACUGUGGCAGGGUAUGGUGGGUGAUAAUCAUUCAUGCAACCACCAUGCACAUGGUCCACAUUUUGCUUUUUGUGGAUUUGUUUCAACUCCGACUGUCCAAAUUAUGGUAGUGUUGUAAUGGAGUGUAUGCUGGAUUGACUAUAAUUCUUCCAUCAUUGGGAAUCAGCUGGCUAGCUAGAAUGAGAAAUUUCCAACUCACAUAAUUCAAUGGGCAUGUCUAUUGAUUGGACAUUAUGAUUGUCAAGUCAGUGUGUUUUUGUAGCAAUGACCCACCCCAAUGGGUCCACACAUUGGACUGACUGGAGUGAGUAUGUGUCUGUAUCUUCCAGGUGGAUUCAUGCACAAUAUGGUCCAUCAAACUCUGCCCUUGGUAUGAUACAAUUCUUCUUUUCUAACACAUGCAUGCAUGAAAUCACCACUGUUUAUGAAUAGCUACAGAUAUUCUUCUGAUUGCAUUAUAAUACAGAGUGCUCCGCCCUUCUGAAACAAUUAUGGAUAAUUCAUGAAAUUUUUUAGGAAAAAGGAUUUUCCUGAGUAAUUCACAAAUUAUCUGCCAGCUAUGAAUUAUUCACAAAUGAGUGCCAGGCUAACUUCAUAAGGAUCAAGGGACCUGAGCUACUGACUAUGUGGUUUGGAGAGAGUGAGGCUAAUGUGAGGGAGAUAUUUGCUAAAGCUCGCCAAUCAGCUCUGUGCGUGCUUUUCUUUGACAAGCUUGAUUCAAUUGCAACCUAGGUAAUCUAUGCUCUGUACUUAACUCUUAUUGUGAUCCCUGAUGUUCCACUCAGGGAAUCAAAAUUGUCUUGGAGAGUAACUCAGCUAUCUAUCAGAUCCUAAAUGUCACAUUCCAGCAUGGUCAGAAUCCAUGCAUGUAUGAUUUAUAAAGGAUUUAACUCGGAAUGGUGAUGGCUGAAACUGAGUCGACUUGGAUGAGUUGGCUUGGUGUCAGGAAGUGUUGAUGCCAUUGUUCUAGUUUGCAAUCUCCACCCAUAGCUGGGGCAACAUAUAAAACUUGUUUUUGUUAAGUUACUCAGUUUCUUCUCAAUUGCCUUAGUAUUUUUUACUUGCUGAUUUCGAUAAGAUUGUCUGUUCAAUGUGCACAGAGAGUUGGUGCAAACACAUCUUCUAAGUCCCACCAUCCAACAAUUUGUGGGUGUGAAUAUUAGCAUGCAUUUCAAACUUGAGUAUUGAGAAUUCAAAUUUCAAAGUGCCUAUGGAUUCCUGCCAGCUACCAUUAAAUGGUGGGAGUUGAUGAAUUGUUUGGUCCUUCUAUAUGAUGGUUGGCUUUAAUGUAUAUUUUUUAGUUGUGGCAGUGUAAAUUUUUUAGUCCACAGAAAUCUCAUUGAGGGGCCAAAGCAUUUGGAUAUGUUUGAAGUUGAUUCACGCUUCCACUGCCGCCAUUUCUAGGACUGAUUGACGCCUCACCUACACUAGUACCUACAUGGUUUGAAGCUCAUAUUGGAUGAAGAUGGCUAUUGAUCGAAGUCUAUGGGCAUGCUCCAUCCACACCGAGAUCCAUCAAAUCAAGUCUGGAUUAGCACCUGCACUGCUUGUAGAGAAUUGACCCAAGACAGUUUUCACACCCCAAUGCACCAUGGUGCCCAUUGCUUCUGUUCUGCUCAUGGAUAAUCUACUAGGAAUACUGAGGUGAUUGGACAUGAUGUAGAGAAUGGUUUGCUGGUAAUUUACUCAAGGGGCAGACAGUUGGAGUGAUUGAAGCAGGUUAUAUUGGAUGAAAGAAUAAAAUCUAUUGUUUCUAUGUUUAUUUCCAAUUUAGUUUAUUCUUUGAUGCACUUAAUGAUUUGUUAGUGAUGGCCUUGAUACAUGAAAUCUAGAAACUCCUGCAUCAAAAACCAAUGAGAACAGAUGGAUAAGAAUGAAGUGCAGCCACAAGGUCCUUCCCAAUGCUCCAAAGACAAUGGCCACAUCAAAAGAACAGGUGGUCUUCAUCAAUUCAACUUCUGUGAUUCUCUUUUACUCAGAACUAGUCUUUAUUUUUUUUUUCUUUUUGAAAAAUUCCCGUAAUUUUUUCAUCUUGGUUUUUUUCUUUUAAGCUAUAGAUGCCUUUUUCUCAUCUUUGUGGUGACUAGUCAAUGGUAAAAAAAAAGAAGAAGUGAAAGUCUGGUCAAAGACUCCAUGCGCAGAAGCUGUUUCUUGAGGGGAUUGAAUUUGUUUGUGUUUUUUGA